GUGCGCUCGGACGACAACGAAGUCAAGCAGCCCCCUUUCUUACAGUUGCCAUCUUACAAAGCUUUAUUAUAGACUCUUAACAUCGUGUCUACGCUGCAAAAGAGCGACGCGACGCUACAAACUUAAACCAAACCGUUAUAAUAUUAAUUGAUUAUAACGGUCGCUUUCUAUUUUUUGUCGCGUCGCGUGAGAUAAGUACGUAAUUACGCACUUGUGGCGGUUCCCAACAGCUUGUACAAAUACCUUGCGCUUGUUUGCUUUGACCAAGAACUUUAGUUUUCGUGAAGUCAAAGACAUGAUAAAGUUAUUUUCAAGACGGAGAACACGGCAAGGAUCAGUCGAAGUGGAGAUGACAUCCUUUCUGGACAUUUAUACAUUUUCUCUCAAAGUAUUUGUGCUGUCAGCGCUGGAAGAAAAGUCACGGACAUCUGCGAAGAAGUUUGCAAAAGAACGUUCACCAGACGGAUCUUUCUCAGAAAUACAGACAUUCUGAUUGUAACUUAGCGCCAUUUUGGAGAACAUCCGCUGAACGCAGGCAGCGCUCUUCUGUGUCAGCUACAACACAAGCCAUUUUCCAUUUCCUGCUCAGUACUGAGAGAAAACCGUUUAGAGAGAUCAGUGGGCGAAAACAUGGACGCUCUGACUUUAGAAAACCGCUGAUCUGUUCAGGUAAAAUCAACCGCUUCCAUACACCUUAGUCAGGGAAGAUGCCAUAUUUGAUUUUAUGCAGAUGCUGUGGGGUGAGGGAACGUAAUUAUCAAAAUUCACAACUUUAUGGAGUUUUUGUCUACUGAAAGUGUCUUCGGAAAGAUGUUUUUGUCAGCUGAACAUGUGGCAUGGCAUGUUAUUACCGUAGACUGUAUAAAAAUACGGAUGUACUGUCUGUGACGUCACCCGUAGGUUUCCGAAGAGCGUUUUUGAAGCUCAAAGUGGGUGGAGCCGGCUGUUGCCAUCUUGGCAGCGCGUCACCGCAUGUCGCUCCUGGAUAAUUGAAAAUGGGCAAAAAGGUGGGAGCUGCUGAAACCACGCCCACCUAGUGCGAUGGUGGUGACAGCGGUGCCAAUCCACCUGUCACUCAAGUGGCCACGCCCUUAAUUAUGAAGAAUUUUUAGGCUUAAUAUAAUCUAAACGGAUGAGUUAUAAAAAAAAAUCACCCCCUCACAGUUGUCAUGAAGGGUAAAAUUAGCUGUAUAGACCAAAAUAAUUUUUUGAACCAGGCUGUAAACAUGUUUUUUUCUGCUAUAAAGUUGGGCAUUUUAACAUGGGGAGUCUAUGGGAUUGACUCCCUUUUGCAGCCAGCCUCUAGCAGCCAGUUGAGGAAUUACAGUUUAAGUCACUUCCGUGUUGGCUUCACGAGAGAGAGCGUGAGGUUGCGUUAGCUUGGCUACUUUGGAUGACACUUUUAUCCAAAGCAAUUAAUAAAUUUAGACAUUUAGAAUUCAAUUUAGAGGUUUUGUCAUAUGGGCCUUUACAUUUAAGGCCUGUUUACACCAAGAAUGAUAACCAUAAUGAUAAUAAUAACUAUAUUAGCACCCACACCAAUGAACAUUCUGUAAUGUUCUGUAAAGUAUAAGUGCAUACUGCAGUUUUGUCAUCUGCUUCUUUACAUGUGUGAACGUUUUAAGUAAAUUUAUAAAACGCUAAACACAUCAAAGAGUAAAAAAAACAACAACCCGAAAUUAGCCUGGGUUAGUGCAGGUUAUUUGCUUCUUGUUUGCUCUGCUGUGUGCCUGUAAUCAAACAGGCAAAACAGCUCAGACGAUUUAUCAUAUUACACAAACUAUGCGUUGUUUUGACAUUGUUGCAGUUAAUGCUUUAAUGCUUAACAUUCAAUCAUUACCUUUUCGAAAUAAUCCAUUAAACAUGUUACAAUUUGAGGAGAGUGCACUAAAAUUUUCAGUUCCAUUCAUUUGCGCGUUGUCUCAAGUACACGCCCACAAUAUGGGAACUAAUGAAUAUUCAUGUAAACUCCACCCAAUGUAACAAUUUUUUCACAGGAACUCUAUAUUACACAACACCGAACAAGCACGUCAGUGAAUUAAAUGUCAGUUUUGCAUUUUUCUCUGAAACUGGCAGUGCAUAGCCUAGAUUUAUGCUUUCAGUUUGAGUGGAAAUCUUAUACAGUAUAACAGUUAGUCGAUCUAAACAGUGAUUGUUCAUUAACAGCAGUCAACAAUGUUGGUACGCAAAUGAGUCGUCUGAACAUAUUUACACAUAGCAUUUUUUUAUUUUGGUCGUGAACUUAUGUGCACCCCUGUUUAUAGCUAUAAUUGUCAUUAUUACAGUUAUUGUCCUUGAUGUGAACAUCCCUUUAAUCUUUGAACAGUAAAAUAUCUAGGCCAGCAGUUUCUUCCUAUCUUCUUCACAUCUGUGUACAUUACAUCACAAUACAUUACUCUGAGUUAUUUUCUGUGCAUCAGUGAAACAGCCAAUCAAAUGUAACCUCAGUAGUGCGCAAAGACGAUUUAAAAAUCAGCAGAUUUUGUGUCCCUCAUGUGUUAGCAUUGUAGUUGUGAUCAAAUGGAGGAUAAUGUGUCAAGACCUAUUUAUUAAACUCUUCAUUACUGCAUUCGACACAUUGAGUAAGUCUUUUUCACUCUUCAUUUCAUGUUUCUUUUUUCUUGUUUUUAAUUCAGUUUUGCACUCAUGGUAGAGUGUAAGUGUGGGAUAGCAUGACUUCCUGCUGACCUCUGAGAGUUAGCGUUUUCUGUUAAUCAGUGUUCUGGUGACACAGAUGACUUGUUCUCUUACUGUGAGUUUCGUGCUUAGAAUCAGGGAACUGUGUUUAACUGCCUGUCGAGUGCAGAGGAGUGUGACCUCCAGCAAGGUCAGAGAGGUCUUCGUCAUCUGAUUCUGCUUCGGGUGGUUUUGGGUUCCUGGAAAAAAGGAGACAGAGAGUUAAAGCAAUGUGAGUGAAUGGAAACAAGUGCAUCACAUUAGAAAAUGGGACAGUGUUGUUUUGUUGCAUUUAAAGAUCAGGAAACACAAGAAAGGGAAAAUCAGCACAUAAAAGUAGAUAAAAAUAGUUUUAUAUUUGCUGUAGUUGUUAUCCAUACAUAUUUUUAUUUAUUAGUAUAGACUUCAAUUCAGUUUUGAAGAACAUUCUCACAAAAACAGUCAAAUGCAUAACCAGUGCCCUCUGAUUUGAUAGAUGUGUUGAAUAGGUAACAAGUUGUGGUUACUGUUAAAGUCAGAGGAGGAUUCUAGACAUUGACUUAACCUCAUCUGCCCCACAACAGGUCCAUCCCACAGGGCAUAUGCUACCAUGAGAAGUGCAGUUUAAGUCUGCAUUAGGAAAGAAUGCUUUGAUGAGGCCCUUGAUCUAGGGGAAAUCAGAGUGCCGCUCACAAGGGUGGUAUUUUCACAGUCUCAGAAAGAACAGGACGAUCACAAAAUCUUAGACAUCAGGACCAAUGAAUUCAGGCUAAUUUGAGGAAACUUUAAUGUACUCUCAGACUCUGUCUCAGACAGAAGGAGAAAGGAUGAAGAGAUUUUUUUUUUUUUUUUUAUAGUCUGAUCAUUGUUUAAAAUGUGUUUGUCUAAAAUGCUGUGGUGGUCAGUCUAAUAGUGUUGCACAUUCUGCCUAUCAUUAACUGAAAAGUAUGACAUGAUCUACCCAACAUCAUGUCACUCGAAAAACAUUUUCACUGUGCAGUAUGAAAAGUGUUAUUAUCAAAGUCGUUCUUUUCCAUGCAAUGAAAAUGUAAUGCAUCAAAAAUAAACCAAGUCUG
Molecule: long non-coding RNA, 3731 nt
Organism: Cyprinus carpio carpio
Lineage: Eukaryota; Metazoa; Chordata; Actinopteri; Cypriniformes; Cyprinidae
Source: Ensembl